GACGAACGCUGGCGGCGUGCUUAACACAUGCAAGUCGAACGGAAAGGCCCUGCUUUUGUGGGGUGCUCGAGAGGCGAACGGGUGAGUAACACGUGAGUAACCUGCCCUUGACUUUGGGAUAACUUCAGGAAACUGGGGCUAAUACCGGAUAGGAGCUCCUGCUGCAUGGUGGGGGUUGGAAAGUUUCGGCGGUUGGGGAUGGACUCGCGGCUUAUCAGCUUGUUGGUGGGGUAGUGGCUUACCAAGGCUUUGACGGGUAGCCGGCCUGAGAGGGUGACCGGCCACAUUGGGACUGAGAUACGGCCCAGACUCCUACGGGAGGCAGCAGUGGGGAAUAUUGCACAAUGGGCGGAAGCCUGAUGCAGCAACGCCGCGUGCGGGAUGACGGCCUUCGGGUUGUAAACCGCUUUCGCCUGUGACGAAGCGUGAGUGACGGUAAUGGGUAAAGAAGCACCGGCUAACUACGUGCCAGCAGCCGCGGUGAUACGUAGGGUGCGAGCGUUGUCCGGAUUUAUUGGGCGUAAAGGGCUCGUAGGUGGUUGAUCGCGUCGGAAGUGUAAUCUUGGGGCUUAACCCUGAGCGUGCUUUCGAUACGGGUUGACUUGAGGAAGGUAGGGGAGAAUGGAAUUCCUGGUGGAGCGGUGGAAUGCGCAGAUAUCAGGAGGAACACCAGUGGCGAAGGCGGUUCUCUGGGCCUUUCCUGACGCUGAGGAGCGAAAGCGUGGGGAGCGAACAGGCUUAGAUACCCUGGUAGUCCACGCUGUAAACGGUGGGUACUAGGUGUGGGGUCCAUUCCACGGGUUCCGUGCCGUAGCUAACGCUUUAAGUACCCCGCCUGGGGAGUACGGCCGCAAGGCUAAAACUCAAAGGAAUUGACGGGGCCCCGCACCAGCGGCGGAGCAUGCGGAUUAAUUCGAUGCAACGCGUAGAACCUUACCUGGGUUUGACAUGGAUCGGGAGUGCUCAGAGAUGGGUGUGCCUCUUUUGGGGUCGGUUCACAGGUGGUGCAUGGCUGUCGUCAGCUCGUGUCGUGAGAUGUUGGGUUAAGUCCCGCAACGAGCGCAACCCUUGUUCACUGUUGCCAGCACGUUAUGGUGGGGACUCAGUGGAGACCGCCGGGGUCAACUCGGAGGAAGGUGGGGAUGACGUCAAGUCAUCAUGCCCCUUAUGUCCAGGGCUUCACGCAUGCUACAAUGGCUGGUACAGAGAGUGGCGAGCCUGUGAGGGUGAGCGAAUCUCGGAAAGCCGGUCUCAGUUCGGAUUGGGGUCUGCAACUCGACCUCAUGAAGUCGGAGUCGCUAGUAAUCGCAGAUCAGCAACGCUGCGGUGAAUACGUUCCCGGG
RNAcentral lists this ribosomal RNA (1343 nucleotides) under uncultured bacterium. RNAcentral's name for it is "16S ribosomal RNA". It matches the Rfam family "Bacterial small subunit ribosomal RNA", at positions 28 to 1378 of the family's 1533-position model. The record is from RNAcentral.